RNAcentral lists this ribosomal RNA (468 nucleotides) under uncultured bacterium. RNAcentral's name for it is "partial 16S ribosomal RNA". It matches the Rfam family "Bacterial small subunit ribosomal RNA", at positions 28 to 507 of the family's 1533-position model. The record is from RNAcentral.
GACGAACGCUGGCGGCGUGCUUAACACAUGCAAGUCGAACGGAAACGCCCUGCUUUUGUGGGGUGCUCGAGUGGCGAACGGGUGAGUAACACGUGAGCAACCUGCCCUUGACUUUGGGAUAACUUCAGGAAACUGGGGCUAAUACCGGAUAGGAGCCCCUGCUGCAUGGUGGGGGUUGGAAAGUUUCGGCGGUUGGGGAUGGAUUCGCGGCUUACCAGCUUGUUGGUGGGGUAGUGGCUUACCCAGGCUUUGACGGGUAGCCGGCCUGGGAGGGUGACCGGCCACAUUGGGACUGAGAUACGGCCCAGACUCCUACGGGAGGCAGCAGUGGGGAGUAUUGCACAAUGGGCGGAAGCCUGAUGCAGCAACGCCGCGUUCGGGAUGACGGCCUUCGGGUUGUAAACCGCUUUCGCCUGUGACGAAGCGUGAGUGACGGUAAUGGGUAAAGAAGCACCGGCUAACUACGUG